Ornithodoros turicata is the source of this 703-nucleotide long non-coding RNA. RefSeq lists it as uncharacterized. NCBI's taxonomy places the organism in Eukaryota, Metazoa, Arthropoda, Arachnida, Ixodida, Argasidae. The transcript is spliced from 2 exons. The record is from RefSeq and is a predicted model, not a curated record.
UGAAGGUAGUGGCCAGAAAUAUAGCUGUCAAAUAUGCGGAGGGACUGUUGUGUGGCUAUUUUACUGUGGGUGCACCAAAAGUGUCAGGCUUACGUUCGAGUCGAAUGUGCUCCGCCGCGACAGACUGUGGCUAAAAUAAAGUUCUGAGUGCCGAGGAGGCGUUGGAAGUGUUUUGGAGCCUUCCAAAAGUGUCGGGUAGCGAAUGUUCCGACAGUGACGAGCUCGACCCUUUGUUCACACCUGCGCUCGCUCCAGCACUCCAGCUCCAGCAGGCAGGGUCCAACAAAUGGUGGCAUCGAAUCUUCUGCUUCAUGACUGACGCAUGCAUGGUCAAUGCAUUCAUUCAGUACUCUGCUCAUCACACAGUCGAGUACCUUCUGUUCAGGACCCUCGUUGGCCGUCAGCUCAUCCAACGGCAAACGUUCCGCACUGGCCGCAGAUCUCUGCAGGAGAACUACAAACGAAAGCUGGGACAAAGGAAUGGCACUACAAUGACUGGUGUCCUUGAUGAGGUUCCCCUCAAUGGACGAAACCAUUUUCCCAAGCAAUGUGACACACGAAGGAGGUGCCGUUGGUGCUCAACGAAAGACGGGGAAAGCCGCACCAAAUAUAUGUGUAGGGCCUGCGAUGUCCCCCUUUCCAUCAACUGCUUCUGAGGGUUUCAUUUGGUAAAAUGAAGCAAACCUGUGGAUGCCAAAUAGCA